GUAACGGCGAGUGAAGCGGCAACAGCUCAAAUUUGAAAUCUGGCCUCUGGCCCGAGUUGUAAUUUGCAGAGGAUGCUUUUGGUGAGGUGCCUUCCGAGUUCCCUGGAACGGGACGCCAUAGAGGGUGAGAGCCCCGUCUGGUUGGACACCGAGCCUCUGUAAAGCUCCUUCGACGAGUCGAGUAGUUUGGGAAUGCUGCUCUAAAUGGGAGGUAUAUGUCUUCUAAAGCUAAAUACCGGCCAGAGACCGAUAGCGCACAAGUAGAGUGAUCGAAAGAUGAAAAGCACUUUGAAAAGAGGGUUAAACAGUACGUGAAAUUGUUGAAAGGGAAGCGCUUGUGACCAGACUUGGGCUUGGUUAAUCAUCCAGCGUUCUUCGCUGGUGCACUUGGCCGGCCCAGGCCAGCAUCAGUUCGGCGCGGGGGACAAAGGCUCUGGGAAUGUGGCUCCCCCGGGAGUGUUAUAGCCCACUGCGUAAUACCCUGCGCUGGACUGAGGACCGCGCAUCUGCAAGGAUGCUGGCGUAAUGGUCAUCAGCGACCCGUCUUGAAACACGGACCAAGGAGUCGUCUUCGUAUGCGAGUGUUCGGGUGUCAAACCCCUACGCGGAAUGAAAGUGAACGCAGGUGAGAGCUUCGGCGCAUCAUCGACCGAUCCUGAUGUUCUCGGAUGGAUUUGAGUAAGAGCAUACGGGGCCGGACCCGAAAGAAGGUGAACUAUGCCUGUAUAGGGUGAAGCCAGAG
RNAcentral lists this ribosomal RNA (742 nucleotides) under Paracremonium sp. 1 JM-2015. Its description in RNAcentral is "eukaryotic LSU rRNA". It matches the Rfam family "Eukaryotic large subunit ribosomal RNA", at positions 83 to 857 of the family's 3401-position model. Lineage: Eukaryota; Fungi; Ascomycota; Sordariomycetes; Hypocreales; Nectriaceae. The record is from RNAcentral.